RNAcentral lists this ribosomal RNA (706 nucleotides) under Escherichia coli. Its description in RNAcentral is "partial 23S ribosomal RNA". It matches the Rfam family "Bacterial large subunit ribosomal RNA", at positions 1070 to 1776 of the family's 2925-position model. Lineage: Bacteria; Pseudomonadati; Pseudomonadota; Gammaproteobacteria; Enterobacterales; Enterobacteriaceae. The record is from RNAcentral.
ACGAUGUGGGAAGGCCCAGACAGCCAGGAUGUUGGCUUAGAAGCAGCCAUCAUUUAAAGAAAGCGUAAUAGCUCACUGGUCGAGUCGGCCUGCGCGGAAGAUGUAACGGGGCUAAACCAUGCACCGAAGCUGCGGCAGCGACGCUGAUGCGUUGUUGGGUAGGGGAGCGUUCUGUAAGCCUGCGAAGGUGUGCUGUGAGGCAUGCUGGAGGUAUCAGAAGUGCGAAUGCUGACAUAAGUAACGAUAAAGCGGGUGAAAAGCCCGCUCGCCGGAAGACCAAGGGUUCCUGUCCAACGUUAAUCGGGGCAGGGUGAGUCGACCCCUAAGGCGAGGCCGAAAGGCGUAGUCGAUGGGAAACAGGUUAAUAUUCCUGUACUUGGUGUUACUGCGAAGGGGGGACGGAGAAGGCUAUGUUGGCCGGGCGACGGUUGUCCCGGUUUAAGCGUGUAGGCUGGUUUUCCAGGCAAAUCCGGAAAAUCAAGGCUGAGGCGUGAUGACGAGGCACUACGGUGCUGAAGCAACAAAUGCCCUGCUUCCAGGAAAAGCCUCUAAGCAUCAGGUAACAUCAAAUCGUACCCCAAACCGACACAGGUGGUCAGGUAGAGAAUACCAAGGCGCUUGAGAGAACUCGGGUGAAGGAACUAGGCAAAAUGGUGCCGUAACUUCGGGAGAAGGCACGCUGAUAUGUAGGUGAAGUCCCUCGCGG